GACGAACGCUGGCGGCGUGCUUAACACAUGCAAGUCGAACGGAAAGGCCCUGCUCUUGUGGGGUGCUCGAGUGGCGAACGGGUGAGUAACACGUGUGUAACCUGCCCUUGACUUUGGGAUAACUUCAGGAAACUGGGGCUAAUACCCGAUAGGAUCUCCUGCUGCAUGGUGGGGGUUGGAAAGUGUCGGCGGUUGUGGAUGGACUCGCGGCUUAUCAGCUUGUUGGUGGGGUAGUGGCUUACCAAGGCUUUGACGGGUAGCCGGCCUGAGAGGGUGACCGGCCACAUUGGGACUGAGAUACGGACCAGACUCCUACGGGAGGCAGCAGUGGGGAAUAUGGCACAGCGGGCGGGAGCCUGAGACAGCAACGCCGCGUUCGGGAUGACGGCUUUCGGGUGGUAAACCGCUUUCGCCUUUGACGAAGCGGGAGUGACGGUAAUGGGUAAAGAAGCACCGGCUAACUACGUG
RNAcentral lists this ribosomal RNA (468 nucleotides) under uncultured bacterium. RNAcentral describes it as "partial 16S ribosomal RNA". It matches the Rfam family "Bacterial small subunit ribosomal RNA", at positions 28 to 507 of the family's 1533-position model. The record is from RNAcentral.